RNAcentral lists this long non-coding RNA (1241 nucleotides) under Homo sapiens (human). RNAcentral describes it as "long intergenic non-protein coding RNA 1797". Lineage: Eukaryota; Metazoa; Chordata; Mammalia; Primates; Hominidae. The record is from RNAcentral.
AUCUGUGGUCACAAUGGGUACAUCCCCCAAGAAGGGUGGUCUUCCAGGAGUCACUGAAAAUUUCAAGAAGUGAAAAUCCAACAGAAAAUAUUUGAACCCAGGAAUAAAAUAGAAGCCUGGAAGACUGAAGGAUAUUGAGAAAUAUUACCACGCGUGCUGAUGCCUCAGACACACCAAUCUGCAACAAGCAACUAGGAUAAAAAAUAGUUAAAAGUGAAUCAACAUUUAUCUGGAAUAUACAGUCCUGACCCCCUUACGCACUCCCCCCCACCCCCCUCCCCGCAACACACAAAGUCAUUUGUCUUCUAUGUCCUGUGAUGUUUUGAGGAUUCUGGCAAAUAUGGCAGUUAAACAAACUUCUAGCACAAUCUAAAUACAGUCUGUUCAAGAGAGGCUUCCAAUGUUUAUAGACCAUAAGUAAAGAAAAAAAAAAUCUGGUAUUUAACCAAGAAUAGUGCUCUUGAAAAUGUCUCAGAACAAAGUGUUUAAGCAAAACUUUGGCCAUAGAUAUUCUCCAUUCCUCAUUCUUUGCUGAUUUUUUUUUCAAUGAGGACUUUUUAUAUGCCAUCAGUUUGCUUCUUCUUCUUCUUCUUCUUUUUUUUUUUUUUUUUGAAAUUAACAAACUAAUUUUAAAAAUCAACACCUGACUGGGGACCUGGUCAUACAAACUUCCUUUAGAUACAGUUGAGAAGAAAACAUCACAUUUUUAUGAAGCCCCUCUCCUGACAGGGGACUGGAGGAGGAACACCAUUAUGCAUUGUUAUCAGCGUGGUGUAAUUUGACUGUUGACAAAGUAUCCGUGGCAGUGCGAAUGAGCGCAGUUAGAAGUGUGGCGGAUUGUAAUCAAGAAGAUGCUUAGCUGUGCAACACUGCAUCUCGAGCAGAUUUGAAUCAACAUUGCCUUAAGGGGACACACACACAUACCAAAAGAAAAAAAAUCCAUUAAUUUUUAGAGGGAAAAUUAGAGUGGCACUUGAUGAAGUGAAAUUUGACAUGCGUUAAUUGGUGUGCAGCUCUCCUAAUUAGAGAUUUUCAAAUUCUUUUACUGCUGUCACCAUGAUGGCACAUUGUCUUGCUGGACAAAUACUAAAAUUGCAAAUUGGCUUGAUCAGGAAGUUUUACGUAUGAAGAUAACACUGUAUCCUCUAGUCCACUUCCAAAAGGUGGACAGCUGGAGAGCAAAGAUGACUUUCAGCUUUACCUUCACCCCAGAUUAAAAAAAAAAGGAUUAUUAAAAUAGU